UCGGGAAUUUUUGGCAAUGGGGGAAACCCUGACCCAGCAACGCCGCGUGAAGGAUGAAGUAUUUCGGUAUGUAAACUUCGAAAGAAUAGGAAGAAUAAAUGACGGUACUAUUUAUAAGGUCCGGCUAACUACGUGCCAGCAGCCGCGGUAAUACGUAGGGACCAAGUGUUGUUCGGAUUUACUGGGCGUAAAGGGCGCGUAGGCGGCAUGACAAGUCACUUGUGAAAUCUCUGGGCUUAACCCAGAACGGCCAAGUGAUACUGUCGCGCUAGAGUGCAGAAGGGGCAAUCGGAAUUCUUGGUGUAGCGGUGAAAUGCGUAGAUAUCAAGAGGAACACCUGAGGUGAAGACGGGUUGCUGGGCUGACACUGACGCUGAGGCGCGAAAGCCAGGGGAGCAAACAGGAUUAGAUACCCCAGUAGUCCCUGAGCGGGCUGGCAAGGCGCAU
Molecule: ribosomal RNA, 447 nt
Filed under: uncultured bacterium
Lineage: Bacteria
Description: bacterial SSU rRNA
Rfam family: Bacterial small subunit ribosomal RNA
Source: RNAcentral